AUUGAACGCUGGCGGCAGGCUUAACACAUGCAAGUCGAGCGGAUGAAAGUAGCUUGCUACUGGAUUCAGCGGCGGACGGGUGAGUAAUGCUUAGGAAUCUGCCCAUUAGUGGGGGACAACGUUCCGAAAGGAGCGCUAAUACCGCAUACGUCCUACGGGAGAAAGCAGGGGACCUUCGGGCCUUGCGCUAAUAGAUGAGCCUAAGUCGGAUUAGCUAGUUGGUAGGGUAAAGGCCUACCAAGGCGACGAUCUGUAGCGGGUCUGAGAGGAUGAUCCGCCACACUGGGACUGAGACACGGCCCAGACUCCUACGGGAGGCAGCAGUGGGGAAUAUUGGACAAUGGGGGGAACCCUGAUCCAGCCAUGCCGCGUGUGUGAAGAAGGCCUUUUGGUUGUAAAGCACUUUAAGCGAGGAGGAGGCUACCUAGAUUAAUACUUUAGGAUAGUGGACGUUACUCGCAGAAUAAGCACCGGCUAACUCUGUGCCAGCAGCCGCGGUAAUACAGAGGGUGCGAGCGUUAAUCGGAUUUACUGGGCGUAAAGCGUGCGUAGGCGGCCAAUUAAGUCAAAUGUGAUAUCCCCGAGCUUAACUUGGGAAUUGCAUUCGAUACUGGUUGGCUAGAGUAUGGGAGAAGAUGGUAGAAUUCCAGGUGUAGCGGUGAAAUGCGUAGAGAUCUGGAGGAAAUACCGAUGG
This 694-nucleotide ribosomal RNA is filed under the name Acinetobacter radioresistens WC-A-157. RNAcentral's name for it is "bacterial SSU rRNA". It matches the Rfam family "Bacterial small subunit ribosomal RNA", at positions 28 to 715 of the family's 1533-position model. Lineage: Bacteria; Pseudomonadati; Pseudomonadota; Gammaproteobacteria; Moraxellales; Moraxellaceae. The record is from RNAcentral.